This 644-nucleotide ribosomal RNA is filed under the name uncultured archaeon. RNAcentral's name for it is "bacterial SSU rRNA". It matches the Rfam family "Archaeal small subunit ribosomal RNA", at positions 167 to 814 of the family's 1478-position model. The record is from RNAcentral.
AUACUGGAAGGUUUUAUUCUUCAAAGCUUCGGCACCUGAGGAUGGGACUGCGUCGGACUAGCUUGUUGUCGGGAUAAUUACCCGACAAGGCGAUAAUCCGUACGGGUUGUGAGAGCAAUAGCCCGGAGAUGGAUUCUGAGACAUGAAUCCAGGUCCUACGGGACGCAGCAGGCGCGAAACCUUCACAAUGCCUGAAAGGGUGAUGAGGGAACUCUGAGUGACUUCGCAAUGCGAAGUCUUUUGCCAAGUGCAAAAAGCUCGGUGAAUAAGUGGUGGGCAAGACAGUUGCCAGCCGCCGCGGUAAUAACUGCGCCACGAGUGGUGAUCUCGUUUAUUGGGCUUAAAGCGUUCGUAGCCGGUUUUAUAAGCAUCUGGUGAAAUCCGAUAGUAAACUAUUGGGCUGGCUAGGUGUACUGUAAGACUAGGGACCGGUAGGGGCCGGGAGUACUCCUAGGGUAGGGGUUAAAUCCUUUAAUCCUAGGGGGACUACCAGUGGCGAAGGCGCCCGGCUAGAACGGGUCCGACGGUGAGGGACGAAAGCUGGGGGAGCGAUCCGGAUUAGAUACCCGGGUAGUCCCAGCUGUAAACGAUGCCCGCUUGGUGUGGUGAAACUUUCGUGGUUUUGCCGUACCGUAGCGAAAGUG